UAUCUAGGGGAGGAAAAAAAAACAGAAACCAGAACUACGCAACAAAAUGGUAAAUCUUUUUUUUUUUUUUUUUUUUCCUAAUAGAAACGUUGACUUCAGCUCUUCAGUUUACCAUAACAUGGAUGACGCAUCAGAUGAUUACAGCCAAAGGAAACCCAGCCUAGCAAGUGGAUGACGUCUUAGUAGAAAGCAGGUGCAAAGAGAAUAUUUCCCUGCCAAAGACUGAACCAUUGCCAAGAAGUCAUGUGUCUGAACAGGCAUCCCUGUCUACUCUGUGUUUCUAGGCCAUCAGAUGUCCCAUCGGCACUGACACCUGCCAGUUUUGCUGUGUUGCUUGUAUCACAGGGAUGCAGCUGCGGGGCUGUAACUGGAGGCUGUGCCCGCACCAGGCCACCAUGGGGACGCAGCCCAGUCGUCAGCAUGGACCCCUGCGUCCCCACGCCGAGAGGCCACCGCCGCAGUGGAGAGGAAGAUCUGGCGUGACUGCCRUUCUGCUUUUAAAGCUAUCCCUGGCCUCACUGAAAUGCAGCUGUGGGCAGUCAAAAAAGGAAUAAAUGGAAAACGUAUUAGAAAGAGGCUUGUCUC
This 585-nucleotide long non-coding RNA is filed under the name Dromaius novaehollandiae (emu). Its description in RNAcentral is "lncRNA (ENSDNVG00000010603.1)". Lineage: Eukaryota; Metazoa; Chordata; Aves; Casuariiformes; Dromaiidae. The record is from RNAcentral.